UUUGGGUUGACUUUUCCAGUUUCAUUAAAAAAUUAUUAUUUCCAAACUUCUGUAUUUCCCCUAAAAUUGUAUUCUUUGUUUACUUUCUGAGUGUAGAACCUUCUUAUAGUAAAUAUUAUUGAUUCAUUGCUUUUUUAGCAAAAUUUUAUAUCGAUAAAUGUGAAUUUUCAAAGAAACACCCUUACUUUUUUAUUUUCAGAAAGGAAUUUAUGUGAACUCUUUAAAAGACUAACAAUUACACUGGAUGUAAAACACUUUCUUGGUGUAAAUCAUUUAAACUUGUUUAAUUAGCUGGAAUUCUAUUUCUGUAACCCUCUUUGUCUCUUUGUUCAUAUUAUAUCUUUGUAAUGUUCUUUCUUGCAUUAAAAAAGUAGAUUCCCCCUAUGUGUAAAGCGCUUAAAGUGCCAAGAAAAGCGCUAUAUAAAUGUAAGGAAUUUUUAUUGUUAUAAUAAAGCGCUGUUCUACCAUCAUGAUAUAGCCAGACUAAAAUAAAUCGCAUUAUUUCGAUUAGUUUACUCUAAAGCAAACACUCCACUCACUGACAAACAUAGAAGUAAAGUUGGUUUUAUAUUCGCACAUUCCGACCUCUGCGUUCAAUAAGUUUGUUAAUCAGCAAGUAAAGAAUCCAAAUUCAAUUAUUUACCGUUGUAGUCGAUUAUGAGCAAAAUGUACGCCACACUUUUCUGUCAAACUCGGCGUUUUAAAGGAGUAGAAAAACACGCUUACCUCUAUGAAGGAGGUGACGUCAUCGCUUUUUUGAGGGACCGUCUACAAACUAUCAGUUUGUAAAAUCAAGCUGUCAACGUUCACUGUCUAUAAUUGUACGCAAGCAAAAGAUGGCCAGAUUGAGACUUGUGAACUUCACCACUGGCUCCCUCCUUUAAAAUGUUACUCUGCUGAAGUACAUGUGAAUAAAAAAAUAUUUUCAAGACAGCAAAUAACAGUGUCAUGAAAUGAGUUCGGCUCAUGUGGACAAAAAGAGUCCAAAAUGAGAAUCUAUGCAUUUGGGGAUUUACAAUGCUAUUAUUCACUUUGGAAUGUUUUUUUUUUUUACUUGCAUGUAUUUGCACAAUAUUUUUAUACAUAAUUGCCACAUAUUACAUAGUAAUGUAAUAAGUUGUACUUUAAUUACAUAUUAAGUGAGAUUCUUGCCAAUGUUUGUUUCAUGUCCCAUGUGUCAAUAUAGAGCUGCAAUAGGAAGACCAGCAGACCUUUUGUAAUUUGUGUUUGUAAUCAAUGUAAUUGCAUGAUAAAAUGAUGAAAUGGGAGAUGUAAUGGAUUUAUUCUUAAAUUAUCAUUGUGUAUGAAGUGUGCUUUUUAAAUAAACUUGUUUUGAAAUGCAAGAAAAA
Molecule: non-coding RNA, 1349 nt
Organism: Danio rerio (zebrafish)
Lineage: Eukaryota; Metazoa; Chordata; Actinopteri; Cypriniformes; Danionidae
Source: RefSeq, a predicted model, not a curated record